GGGACGAACGCUGGCGGCGUGCCUAACACAUGCAAGUUGAGCGACGAACCAGGGCUUGCCCUGGGGCAAAGCAGCGAACGGGUGAGUAACACGUGGGUAACCUGCCCCGAUUACCGGGACAACCCGAGGAAACUCGGGCUAAUACCGGAUGUGCUCGUCAGACUCAAGUCUGACGCGUAAAGGAAGCUUCGGCCUCCGAAUCGGGAGGGCCCGCGGCCCAUUAGCUAGUUGGUGAGGUAACGGCUCACCAAGGCAUCGAUGGGUAGCUGGUCUGAGAGGACGAUCAGCCACACUGGGACUGAGACACGGCCCAGACUCCUACGGAGGCAGCAGUGGGAAUCUUGCGCAAUGCGCGAAAGCGUGACGCAGCAACGCCGCGUGGGGGAAGACGGCCUUCGGGUUGUAAA
This 407-nucleotide ribosomal RNA is filed under the name uncultured soil bacterium. RNAcentral describes it as "bacterial SSU rRNA". It matches the Rfam family "Bacterial small subunit ribosomal RNA", at positions 27 to 429 of the family's 1533-position model. The record is from RNAcentral.